CUCCUUUCAGCCAGGUUAUGUCAGCUUUGGGUACUGGAACAGGGAAGAAAGAAGAGACCAGACUAGGGUUUGAUACAUACUUGCUGAGCAUGAAUUACACAGACCGUUUCAGGACAUUCAGCUCAUCUUUUGGGUCACGCUGCACUGCCCUUUAUUUUUGGAAAUCACCUGUUGUAUGGCACUAACACAGGGCCGUGUGUGCUGCUUGCCUGGGGUCAGCUGCCCACUGUCCUUGGCCUCCAAACCACCUCCCUGAUCCAACCACCUGGCAGUGGGCAAGGGCAGCUAAUUCCCAGACCUCCACCUCACACUCCCAAGGCCGCAGUGAGAGCUGCCAGGGUCUGGGUCCCUCCCAAGAUGAGGGAACCUGCAGAAGGAACUGAAGAAUAGCAUGCACAAGAUUGUGGAGGCCAAACGCAGUCUGAGAAUAGAACCUGGGAAGGGUGCCACCCUGCUCUGCCUUCUGCCCGACUUUAGACUAACCCCUGUCUACUUUGAGAGCACUGCACAACCCCGUAUUCCCCAGUUUGAGAAACACAGUUUGAGACUAUUAAUAUAGAUGUGGAACAGCACCGGGUAACAAACAAAAUCAGUGAGAUUCUGGUAGAACUCCUCUGAAUCCACACAAGAAAACCUGUUUUGCUUUCUAUCAUUUUUUAGCUGCGUUAACAUCUUAGACUGAAUAGUAUAAUUUAUGUUACUUUUAAAUUCUGAAGCAAUAUAAGACCUUUGAAUAUGAGCAGGCUUUUAGAAGGUGGGGUUACCUUUUGGGGCACCGUUUGGGGAGUUUGUUGUUUAUCACAUCCUUUUAAAAAAUAAUUAAUCUUGUUUUUCUUCUUGCUAUUUAGCUUAUAAUGUAGUUAUUAUAAAUAAUAAAAUUGUCAAAGCAA
Alligator mississippiensis (American alligator) is the source of this 890-nucleotide long non-coding RNA. RefSeq lists it as uncharacterized. NCBI's taxonomy places the organism in Eukaryota, Metazoa, Chordata, Crocodylia, Alligatoridae. The transcript has 4 exons. The record is from RefSeq and is a predicted model, not a curated record.